Molecule: ribosomal RNA, 456 nt
Filed under: uncultured bacterium
Lineage: Bacteria
Description: bacterial SSU rRNA
Rfam family: Bacterial small subunit ribosomal RNA
Source: RNAcentral
UGCAGUCGAACGGUAACAGCACUUCGGUGGCUGACGAGUGGCGGACGGGUGAGUAAUACAUCGGAACGUGCCCGAUCGUGGGGGAUAACUACUCGAAAGAGUGGCUAAUACCGCAUACGAUCUACGGAUGAAAGCGGGGGAUCGCAAGACCUCGCGCGGACGGAGCGGCCGAUGGCAGAUUAGGUAGUUGGUGGGAUAAAAGCUUACCAAGCCGACGAUCUGUAGCUGGUCUGAGAGGACGACCAGCCACACUGGGACUGAGACACGGCCCAGACUCCUACGGGAGGCAGCAGUGGGGAAUUUUGGACAAUGGGGGAAACCCUGAUCCAGCCAUGCCGCGUGCAGGAUGAAGGCCUUCGGGUUGUAAACUGCUUUUGUACGGAACGAAAAGACUCUUUCUAAUACAGAGGGUCCAUGACGGUACCGUAAGAAUAAGCACCGGCUAACUACGUGCCA